RNAcentral lists this ribosomal RNA (462 nucleotides) under uncultured bacterium. Its description in RNAcentral is "partial 16S ribosomal RNA". It matches the Rfam family "Bacterial small subunit ribosomal RNA", at positions 28 to 507 of the family's 1533-position model. The record is from RNAcentral.
GACGAACGCUGGCGGCGUGCUUAACACAUGCAAGUCGAACGGAAAGGCCCUUCGGGGUACUCGAGUUGCGAACGGGUGAGUAACACGUGGGUGAUCUGCCCUGCACUUUGGGAUAAGCCUGGGAAACUGGGUCUAAUACCGAAUAGGACCACGCGCUUCAUGGUGUGUGGUGGAAAGCUUUUGCGGUGUGGGAUGGGCCCGCGGCCUAUCAGCUUGUUGGUGGGGUAAUGGCCUACCAAGGCGACGACGGGUAGCCGGCCUGAGAGGGUGACCGGCCACACUGGGACUGAGAUACGGCCCAGACUCCUACGGGAGGCAGCAGUGGGGAAUAUUGCACAAUGGGCGCAAGCCUGAUGCAGCGACGCCGCGUGAGGGAUGACGGCCUUCGGGUUGUAAACCUCUUUCAAUAGGGACGAAGCGCAAGUGACGGUACCUAUAGAAGAAGCACCGGCCAACUACGUG